This 265-nucleotide ribosomal RNA is filed under the name Salmonella enterica subsp. enterica. RNAcentral describes it as "partial 23S ribosomal RNA". It matches the Rfam family "Bacterial large subunit ribosomal RNA", at positions 711 to 973 of the family's 2925-position model. Lineage: Bacteria; Pseudomonadati; Pseudomonadota; Gammaproteobacteria; Enterobacterales; Enterobacteriaceae. RNAcentral also lists the same sequence under 1 other name. The record is from RNAcentral.
AGACCCGAAACCCGGUGAUCUAGCCAUGGGCAGGUUGAAGGUUGGGUAACACUAACUGGAGGACCGAACCGACUAAUGUUGAAAAAUUAGCGGAUGACCUGUGGCUGGGGGUGAAAGGCCAAUCAAACCGGGAGAUAGCUGGUUCUCCCCGAAAGCUAUUUAGGUAGCGCCUCGUGAAUUCAUCUCCGGGGGUAGAGCACUGUUUCGGCUAGGGGGCCAUCCCGGCUUACCAACCCGAUGCAAACUGCGAAUACCGGAGAAUGUU